AAGGAGGCUCCCUGUGUGGCUCCAUCCUUUCUGGCUUUGCCCUCUCCCUUCUUCCACGUGAUCCCGUUCUCCUUGAGUUCUUGACUUUUUAUAAGGAGUGACCUGGAAGACCGUAAAGAAGCCAUGGCAACAAAGAGCCUUGUGCUCACUACAGCGGAGCAUCCUGCCUUUGUCCAAUCCAGCCCAGUGCGUCAAUCUCUGCAAAUAACAAAAGAUGUGGCCACUCGGCUGCUUGUCCCUGCCCCCACCAGAACACCGAGAGAGGCUGAGGCCUCCCCAACUGGAACUGAGCUAGGAGAGCAGCAGACAGAUACUAAAACACACAGAUGGAGAAGUUAACCACAUGAUGACCAGACUGUACCCACAACAUGAGUUGCCACAAUUCUGAGAACUGGCCUCAAAGAAAUGGGAACAGACGGGACCCUGGAACUGAAGAUUAGCUGUACCUAAAGCAACCAAGAUGAUGCUGGUUCCUCCUGUCCCCGCCGCCCCCAUCCCAGUUGCCGGCAUGUGAAAUAAAGCAAACUUUC
Capra hircus (goat) is the source of this 530-nucleotide long non-coding RNA. RefSeq lists it as uncharacterized. Lineage: Eukaryota; Metazoa; Chordata; Mammalia; Artiodactyla; Bovidae. The record is from RefSeq and is a predicted model, not a curated record. The transcript has 3 exons.